GAACGGCUCAUUAUAAACAGCUAUAAUUUACUUUGAUCUUGACUUCCUACUUGGAUAACUGUGGUAAUUCUAGAGCUAAUACAUGCACCAAAGCUCCGACCUUACGGGAAGAGCGCAUUUAUUCGAACAAAACCAAGCGGCUUCGGCCGUCCGCAGUUGACUCAGAAUAACUAAGCUGAUCGCAUGGUCUUGAACCGGCGACGUGUCUUUCAAGUAUCUGCCUUAUCAACUUUCGAUGGUAGUGUAUCUGACUACCAUGGUGGUGACGGGUAACGGAGGAUAAGGGUUCGACUCCGGAGAAGGGGCCUGAGAAAUGGCCACUACGUCUAAGGAUGGCAGCAGGCGCGCAAAUUACCCACUCUCAGAAUGAGGAGGUAGUGACGAGAAAUAACGAGACCGUUCUCUACGAGGCCGGUCAUCGGAAUGGGUACAAUUUAAACCCUUUAACGAGUAUCUAUGAGAGGGCAAGUCUGGUGCCAGCAGCCGCGGUAAUUCCAGCUCUCAAAAUGCAUAGAAUUAUUGCUGCGGUUAAAAAGCUCGUAGUUGGAUCUGUGCCGGUGGACCCGGUCCACUCGAAAGGGUGCGCACUGGGCUCCCCGGCUUUCUGCCGGUUUUCCCGUCGUGGCCUUAACUGGUUGCGGCGGGUGGCUGGCGAUUUUACCUUGAAUAAAUCAGAGUGCUUAAAACAGGCGUUUCGCUUGAAUGUUCGUGCAUGGAAUAAUAGAAAAGGAUUUCGGUUCUAUUUUAUUGGUUUUAUAGACUGAGAUAAUGGUUAACAGAGACAAACGGGGGCAUUCGUAUUGCUGCGUGAGAGGUGAAAUUCUUGGACCGCAGCAAGACGAACUACAGCGAAAGCAUUUGCCAAGAAUGUCUUCAUUAAUCAAGAACGAAAGUCAGAGGUUCGAAGGCGAUCAGAUACCGCCCUAGUUCUGACCGUAAACGAUGCCAACUAGCGAUCCGCCGGUGGAUGCAUUGCCCUGGUGGGGAGCUUCCCGGAAACGAAAGUCUUCCGGUUCCGGGGGAAGUAUGGUUGCAAAGCUGAAACUUAAAGGAAUUGACGGAAGGGCACCACCAGGAGUGGAGCCUGCGGCUUAAUUUGACUCAACACGGGAAAACUCACCCGGCCCGGACACCGUAAGGAUUGACAGAUUGAUAGCUUUUUCAUGAUUCGGUGGAUGGUGGUGCAUGGCCGUUCUUAGUUA
Molecule: ribosomal RNA, 1202 nt
Filed under: Nematoda environmental sample
Lineage: Eukaryota; Metazoa; Nematoda
Description: SSU rRNA
Rfam family: Eukaryotic small subunit ribosomal RNA
Source: RNAcentral